GAUGAACGCUGGCGGCGUGCUUAACACAUGCAAGUCGAACGAACUCUUUCGGGAGUGAGUGGCGGACGGGUGAGUAACGCGUGAGUAUCUGCCCACAGGCGGGGGACAACCAUUGGAAACGAUGGCUAAUACCCCAUAUGUCGAGAGAUGAAAGAUUUAUCACCUGUGGAUGAGCUCGCGUCUGAUUAGCUAGUUGGUGGGGUGACGGCCUACCAAGGCGACGAUCAGUAGCUGGUCUGAGAGGAUGAUCAGCCACACUGGGACUGAGACACGGCCCAG
RNAcentral lists this ribosomal RNA (279 nucleotides) under uncultured Halomicronema sp. Its description in RNAcentral is "partial 16S ribosomal RNA". It matches the Rfam family "Bacterial small subunit ribosomal RNA", at positions 28 to 334 of the family's 1533-position model. The record is from RNAcentral. Lineage: Bacteria; Bacillati; Cyanobacteriota; Cyanophyceae; Nodosilineales; Nodosilineaceae.